UUGGGAAGGAAACCUGUGGUAUUUUUGUUGUUAGCACGUUGGCUUAGCGGUUAAGCUAGAGGAGCUAUGGGACCAUGUUACGCCUCCAUUCCAUCAGUUCCAGUUUUCCACUAGCAUGUUCACUCCUGUCCUUGGAUGAGUGCAGAGAUGUGUGCUUGGUGUGCUUGUUGCCCAUGGUCACAUGCGCCAUGAAUGCGAGAAGAUCAUCAGCAGGCUUCCGGUGUCAGGAGCGACUGCUGCUCUCCCUGUGGAAAUAAUGCAGGGCUCUCAAGUGUCACGCAUUGAGCGUGACAGUCACUCAUUUCGGUCUUUAAUCACGCACUCCCGCCACACAUCGUAUUUCUCACGCUGAAAAAAAAACUCUAGGCUAUUUAAUGUGCCGCAGCGCGCUAACAUGACCUGGCCGCGCUGCCCUCACCAUGGAGGAAUCAAGCACGUCUCCCCGAAUCCCCUGGAGUUCUGCCGUGAGGUGCCAAUUAUCAGCCAAUCAAAAAAAAAAAAAAUAGCCAAUCAGAAAAAAAGUGUCUUUUGUAUCUGCAGUAAGGGGCAUCAGGCCAAACAGCAGGCACUGAAGUCAACCAGCGCAGUCAAAAACUUUUACUUGCCAGUGACUGCAGAGAUGAGUGUGCAAGAGGUCAAGGUACAUUUAAAUGCAUAAGGUUGACUACAAUGUUCAUGAAUACCAUUUUUCC
Long non-coding RNA from Clupea harengus (Atlantic herring), 692 nucleotides. NCBI's taxonomy places the organism in Eukaryota, Metazoa, Chordata, Actinopteri, Clupeiformes, Clupeidae. The record is from Ensembl.